This is a ribosomal RNA of Otolemur garnettii (small-eared galago), 119 nucleotides long. NCBI's taxonomy places the organism in Eukaryota, Metazoa, Chordata, Mammalia, Primates, Galagidae. The record is from Ensembl.
AUCCACAACCACAUCACCCUGAAUGUUCCUGAUCUUGUCUGAUUUGGGAAGCUAAGCAGGGAUAGGCCUGGCUAGUACUUAGAUGGGAGACCACCUGGUAAUUGUGGCUGCUAUAGGCA